UACGAAGGGAGCUAGCGUUGUUCGGAAUCACUGGGCGUAAAGCGCACGUUGGCGGAUGUGUCAGUCAGGGGUGAAAUCCCGGAGCUCAACUUCGGAACUGCCUUUGAUACAGCACGUCUUGAGUCCGAUAGAGGUGGGUGGAAUUCCUAGUGUAGAGGUGAAAUUCGUAGAUAUUAGGAAGAACACCGGUGGCGAAGGCGGCCCACUGGAUCGGUACUGACGCUGAGGUGCGAAAGCGUGGGGAGCAAACAGG
This 253-nucleotide ribosomal RNA is filed under the name uncultured bacterium. Its description in RNAcentral is "partial 16S ribosomal RNA". It matches the Rfam family "Bacterial small subunit ribosomal RNA", at positions 524 to 776 of the family's 1533-position model. The record is from RNAcentral.